This 508-nucleotide ribosomal RNA is filed under the name uncultured bacterium. Its description in RNAcentral is "partial 16S ribosomal RNA". It matches the Rfam family "Bacterial small subunit ribosomal RNA", at positions 30 to 523 of the family's 1533-position model. The record is from RNAcentral.
AUUGAACGCUGGCGGCAGGCUUAACACAUGCAAGUCGAACGGCAGCGGGGGAGAAGCUUGCUUUUCCUGCCGGCGAGUGGCGAACGGGUGAGUAAUACACCGGAACGUGCCCUGUAGUGGGGGAUAACUAGUCGAAAGAUUAGCUAAUACCGCAUACGACCUGAGGGUGAAAGUGGGGGACCGCAAGGCCUCAUGCUAUAGGAGCGGCCGAUGUCUGAUUAGCUAGUUGGUGGGGUAAAGGCCUACCAAGGCGACGAUCAGUAGCUGGUCUGAGAGGACGAUCAGCCACACUGGGACUGAGACACGGCCCAGACUCCUACGGGAGGCAGCAGUGGGGAAUUUUGGACAAUGGGCGAAAGCCUGAUCCAGCAAUGCCGCGUGUGUGAAGAGGACCUUCGGGUUGUAAAGCACUUUUGUCCGGAAAGAAAUGGCUCUGGUUAAUACCUGGGGUCGAUGACGGUACCGGAAGAAUAAGGACCGGCUAACUACGUGCCAGCCGCCGCCGUAA